GGAGAGGUGCCGGAGCGGCCGAACGGGGCAUCCUGCUAAGAUGUUGGGGGAGCAAUCCCCUCGAGGGUUCGAAUCCCUCCCUCUCCG
Molecule: transfer RNA, 87 nt
Filed under: bacterium
Lineage: Bacteria
Description: tRNA-Ser
Rfam family: tRNA
About the family: Transfer RNA (tRNA) molecules are approximately 80 nucleotides in length. Their secondary structure includes four short double-helical elements and three loops (D, anti-codon, and T loops).
Source: RNAcentral